Ictidomys tridecemlineatus (thirteen-lined ground squirrel) is the source of this 73-nucleotide non-coding RNA. The record is from Rfam. NCBI's taxonomy places the organism in Eukaryota, Metazoa, Chordata, Mammalia, Rodentia, Sciuridae.
GGGGAUAUAGCUCAGUUGGUAGAGUGCUUGCCUUGCAUGCACAAGGCUAUGGGUUCAAUCCCUAGCACCCCCC